GGCUAACAAUUAAGUAGAUUGUGCAUUGUUGCAUGAAUGUAUUAUCUCUUUUCUAUCAGCAAAAGAUGAUCGUGAUUGACUGAGCAGCAUACCUGCAAAUUCUACGUCUAUGUCCCUUGUUUAUCAGAACCCAGCAUAAAAUACGUGAAAACAGAAUAAAUAUUUGAACAAAAUACAACAUGCAUCUGAGUUGAAACACCCUCAUAAAUAAGUCAAGAUUUAAGCGAAUAGAAUUGCAUAAACAUGUGCUUUCGUUCAUUCACAAACACACUGGAAAAAUCCAUAGAAGAAUACUAGAAGAGCAUUUCAAUCACGCUGAACAUCUGCCGGAGAAACUCCAUUAGAAGCCCCUGCAACUUUGCUCUAUAAAAUGGCCAAAUAACAAUUUUAUCACAGAUUCUCUAGAGUUCCUCUCUACCCAAACACUCCAUAUGAUGGCAAAUGAUGCAUAAGUUGAUAAUUCACGUUUAAACAACUACUUAAGGUGAUGAUACAAUCAGAUACCUGUUCGUGUAGAGGCUAGAGCUUCUUUAAACAGAGACAAAAGCACCACUCUACUUCAAGUGAUCUAAGUUUCCCAAUGCUUUGUUUCGAAAGAUUCUCUUCGUCCUCUAGUUCCUUCCCUUCAUCCUCUAGUUCCUUGGUCUGGCCGCUCUAGUGGAUCGUGAAUCUCGUUUUGUAAUUUUGACGGAGCGUGAACAUUUUUUGCUGAACUCCAAGGGUGGAGGAGCAUCUUCUCCAAGAAUUUCCCAAUUCUUGUAUAAGUUACCUGGUGAUUGUGCAAACACAAGUUUAAUAAUCCUAAUCAUCGAUCCAACUUUCUUAAAAGACACUACACCAUUAAGCACAUCAAUGGCAUCUUAUACCUCUGUCAAUGCUCAACUAACAUCUUACCAAUCUAGAGACUGCAAUCUUGCCAACAGUCAUCACCUUUCUCAACUACAGUUUUUAGGUCCGCAGGAAGAACUUUCCCAAACUCAAUAAUCAAAUAAAAUGCUAGGAACAAAAAUGAAAAAAAAA
Molecule: long non-coding RNA, 1020 nt
Filed under: Populus trichocarpa (black cottonwood)
Lineage: Eukaryota; Viridiplantae; Streptophyta; Magnoliopsida; Malpighiales; Salicaceae
Description: long non-coding RNA (PTRI_LNC002000)
Source: RNAcentral